ACACAUGCAAGUCGAACGGUAACAGGGAGCUUGCUCCGCUGACGAGUGGCGAACGGGUGAGUAAUAUAUCGGAACGUACCCAAGAGUGGGGGAUAACGUAGCGAAAGUUACGCUAAUACCGCAUACGAUCUAUGGAUGAAAGCAGGGGACCUUCGGGCCUUGUGCUCCUGGAGCGGCCGAUAUCUGAUUAGCUAGUUGGUGAGGUAAAGGCUCACCAAGGCGACGAUCAGUAGCUGGUCUGAGAGGACGACCAGCCACACUGGAACUGAGACACGGUCCAGACUCCUACGGGAGGCAGCAGUGGGGAAUUUUGGACAAUGGGCGCAAGCCUGAUCCAGCAAUGCCGCGUGAGUGAAGAAGGCCUUCGGGUUGUAAAGCUCUUUUGUCAGGGAAGAAACGGCUGUGGCUAAUAUCCACGGCUAAUGACGGUACCUGAAGAAUAAGCACCGGCUAACUACGUGCCAGCAGCCGCGGUAAUACGUAGGGUGCAAGCGUUAAUCGGAAUUACUGGGCGUAAAGCGUGCGCAGGCGGUUUUGUAAGUCUGUCGUGAAAUCCCCGGGCUCAACCUGGGAAUUGCGAUGGAGACUGCAAGGCUAGAAUCUGGCAGAGGGGGGUAGAAUUCCACGUGUAGCAGUGAAAUGCGUAGAGAUGUGGAGGA
Molecule: ribosomal RNA, 659 nt
Filed under: bacterium xpnta665lb556onp10.8
Lineage: Bacteria
Description: bacterial SSU rRNA
Rfam family: Bacterial small subunit ribosomal RNA
Source: RNAcentral